RNAcentral lists this unclassified non-coding RNA (242 nucleotides) under Hevea brasiliensis (rubber tree). The record is from RNAcentral. Lineage: Eukaryota; Viridiplantae; Streptophyta; Magnoliopsida; Malpighiales; Euphorbiaceae.
UGAAUGGUGAAAAUCCACUGUAUGUAACAUAUGAACCCUGGAGAAAGACAACCUCCAGCAUCUAAAGGAAGAAGCAAUAAUGGAGUUUGGUGGUGCCGGUGCCAGUAUUCACAGGACAGGAACUAGGAAGCCGCCAUUAAUCCCUGACUUCAAUGAGGAAACAUCACCAGUGUUUGUAUAAUUGAAAACAAUAGGAUAACAAGGCAGCAGGUUUAGUUCUCAUAACUCUUACUGAUUUUCUC